This 598-nucleotide ribosomal RNA is filed under the name Brevundimonas diminuta. RNAcentral describes it as "bacterial SSU rRNA". It matches the Rfam family "Bacterial small subunit ribosomal RNA", at positions 56 to 701 of the family's 1533-position model. The record is from RNAcentral. Lineage: Bacteria; Pseudomonadati; Pseudomonadota; Alphaproteobacteria; Caulobacterales; Caulobacteraceae.
UGCAGUCGAACGGACCCUUCGGGGUUAGUGGCGGACGGGUGAGUAACACGUGGGAACGUGCCUUUAGGUUCGGAAUAGCUCCUGGAAACGGGUGGUAAUGCCGAAUGUGCCCUUCGGGGGAAAGAUUCAUCGCCUUUAGAGCGGCCCGCGUCUGAUUAGCUAGUUGGUGAGGUAACGGCUCACCAAGGCGACGAUCAGUAGCUGGUCUGAGAGGAUGACCAGCCACACUGGGACUGAGACACGGCCCAGACUCCUACGGGAGGCAGCAGUGGGGAAUCUUGCGCAAUGGGCGAAAGCCUGACGCACCCAUGCCGCGUGAAUGAUGAAGGUCUUAGGAUUGUAAAAUUCUUUCACCGGGGACGAUAAUGACGGUACCCGGAGAAAAAGCCCCGGCUAACUUCGUGCCAGCAGCCGCGGUAAUACGAAGGGGGCUAGCGUUGCUCGGAAUUACUGGGCGUAAAGGGCGCGUAGGCGGAUCGUUAAGUCAGAGGUGAAAUCCCAGGGCUCAACCCUGGAACUGCCUUUGAUACUGGCGAUCUUGAGUAUGAGAGAGGUAUGUGGAACUCCGAGUGUAGAGGUGAAAUUCGUAGAUAUUCGG